UCGAAACCUGUAUAGCAGAACGACCCGUGAACCCGUUUACCAACCCCGAGGGGUACGGCACGCCCCAUCCCCCUCGGAGCCAAAACACGUCGAAAGACGUGCAGCGGCAAGAACCAAAACACCGGCGCGGGUUGCGCCAAGGACUAUGAAAUUUUACCCUGUCCCGCUGCCUCGGGUUACCGGGUGCCGCGGCGAUGGCGCGUCAAAAUAUUUAAAAAUGAACGACUCUCGGCAACGGAUAUCUCGGCUCUCGCAUCGAUGAAGAACGUAGCGAAAUGCGAUACUUGGUGUGAAUUGCAGAAUCCCGUGAACCAUCGAGUCUUUGAACGCAAGUUGCGCCCGAAGCCAUCCGGCUGAGGGCACGUCUGCCUGGGCGUCACGCAUCGCGUCGCCCCCUACACCUCCAUUUUGGAGCUGAUAGAGGGGCGGAAUAUGGCCCCCCGUGCGCCCCCGCGUGCGGCCGGCCUAAACAAGGAGCCCGUGGCCGCAAGCGCCGCGACGUUUGGUGGUUGAAUCUCGAGCAUCGCGUCGCGCGUCGCAGCGUACUCGGAGACCUCGACGGACCCUUAGGCACAGCAGCCUACCCUUGCGACCCC
Molecule: ribosomal RNA, 596 nt
Filed under: Eriogonum arizonicum
Lineage: Eukaryota; Viridiplantae; Streptophyta; Magnoliopsida; Caryophyllales; Polygonaceae
Description: eukaryotic LSU rRNA
Rfam family: 5.8S ribosomal RNA (bases 224-379)
Source: RNAcentral